AGGAAAUAGAUACCCUGGUAGUCCAUGCUGUAAACGAUGGAUGCUAGCUGUGAUGCGUAUCGACCCGCGUCGUAGCGAAGCUAACGCGUUAAGCAUCCCGCCUGUGGAGUACGGCCGCAAGGCUAAAACAUAAAGGAAUUGACGGGGACCCGCACAAGCGGUGGAGCGUGUUGUUUAAUUCGACGGUAAGCGAAGAACCUUACCCAGGUUUGACAUCCUUGGAAGUUCUGCGAAAGCAGAGUGUGCCUUCGGGAACCAAGUGACAGGUGAUGCAUGGCCGUCUUCAGCUCGUGUCGUGAGACGUUAGGUUAAGUCCUUCAACGAGCGCAACCCUUAUAGUUAGUUGUAUUUUCUAGCUAGACUGCCUGGUAACAGGGAGGAAGGAGGGGACGAUGUCAGGUCAGUAUCUCCCUUAUAUCUGGGGCUACAAACACGCUACAAUGGCGGUACAAAGGGAAGCCAACCGCGAGGGGAGCAAAUCCCAUCAAAGCCGGUCUCAGUUCGGAUUGUAGGCUGAAACUCGCCUGCAUGAAG
RNAcentral lists this ribosomal RNA (534 nucleotides) under uncultured bacterium. Its description in RNAcentral is "bacterial SSU rRNA". It matches the Rfam family "Bacterial small subunit ribosomal RNA", at positions 774 to 1325 of the family's 1533-position model. The record is from RNAcentral.